CUACGGAGGGUGCAAGCGUUAUCCGGAAUCAUUGGGUUUAAAGGGUCCGUAGGCGGACUAUUAAGUCAGAGGUGAAAUCCCACAGCUCAACUGUGGAACUGCCUUUGAUACUGGUAGUCUUGAGUUAUAUGGAAGUAGAUAGAAUGUGUAGUGUAGCGGUGAAAUGCAUAGAUAUUACACAGAAUACCGAUUGCGAAGGCAGUCUACUACGUAUAUACUGACGCUAAGGGACGAAAGCGUGGGGAGCGAACAGGAUUAGAGACCCGAGUAGUCC
This 274-nucleotide ribosomal RNA is filed under the name uncultured bacterium. RNAcentral's name for it is "partial 16S ribosomal RNA". It matches the Rfam family "Bacterial small subunit ribosomal RNA", at positions 523 to 796 of the family's 1533-position model. The record is from RNAcentral.